This 220-nucleotide long non-coding RNA is filed under the name Lathyrus oleraceus (garden pea). RNAcentral describes it as "Pisum sativum (pea) long non-coding RNA (PSAT_LNC006424)". The record is from RNAcentral. Lineage: Eukaryota; Viridiplantae; Streptophyta; Magnoliopsida; Fabales; Fabaceae.
CGCGAGAGGCCAAGGGUAAUAGCGUCCAAACAGUAAACCCUAAGAUCUGAACCAGAGUGGUGGUGCUACAGUGCAGGGAUGGUGGUUUCCACCGUCUUCUUCGUGAAGACGGUGGCGCUACAGUGCGUCACUCAAUUUUUUUUGCAGAAUUUUGUAAAAAAUAUACCAAUUGACUCGUCUUUGCAUGUAGAUCAUGAAUCCAACAUCCAUUCACACUAAU